RNAcentral lists this ribosomal RNA (846 nucleotides) under Triticum aestivum (bread wheat). RNAcentral's name for it is "partial small subunit ribosomal RNA". The record is from RNAcentral. Lineage: Eukaryota; Viridiplantae; Streptophyta; Magnoliopsida; Poales; Poaceae.
AUGUGUGUACCGAAGAAGAAGAAAGGGGGCUUGGGAUUUAGAUACCUUCACAGUUUUAACCUUGCUUUAGCAAAAUAGUGUUGGAGACUAAUCCAGAACCCAGACUCUCUGUGUGCACGUGUUUUGAGCGCAAAAUAUUAUCCCGACAGAAACAUCUUGCAAGUUGUACCAAAGAACGGGUCGUCAUUUACUUGGCAGAGCAUAGUUGCAGGUAUUCAAACUUUCCAGAAGGGGUGCAGUUGGUGUGUAUGUACAGGAGCACAGAUUGAUAUAUGGCCGGAUCCCUGGAUCCCUUCGAGUCCUUCAAGGAAGGUAAUCACCCCUAGAGGUGCAAGGAUGCUCAAAUUUGUGGAAGACCUUAUUGAUCCACACAUUGGACAGUGAGAUGAAGUGCUCAUCAGAGAUGUAUUCUCUCUUGUUGAUGCUCAUAGGAUCCUUCAAAUACCUUUGAAUGUAUGGAUUAUGGAGGAUUGUAUUGCUUGGAACUACAUGCGAUCGGGAACCUUUUCGGUAAGAUCGGCAUAUCACAGGGAGUUCGAGCACCAAUAUGGGCGGCGUCUUACUAGAACGGAUGGACAUGGAAAUAUACAGAUGAAUACGAUAUGGAAGGAAGUGUGGAACCUAAAACUCCCAGGAAAAAUUAAGCACUUUAUUUGGAAGACACUGAAUGGCUCAUUGCCUUGUUUUGGUGUACUGGCUAAUAGGCAUAUUCCAGUAGUGCCGCAAUGUCCUUUUUGUUCUAUUGGGCUGGAAGACAUCUAGCAUCGCUUGUUCACAUGCAAACGGGCGAAGGAAGUCUGGACUGAAUUGGAUUUGCAGGAAAUCAUCUCGGAUGCGGUUGGCUAG